RNAcentral lists this ribosomal RNA (253 nucleotides) under uncultured bacterium. RNAcentral describes it as "partial 16S ribosomal RNA". It matches the Rfam family "Bacterial small subunit ribosomal RNA", at positions 524 to 776 of the family's 1533-position model. The record is from RNAcentral.
UACGUAGGGUGCGAGCGUUAAUCGGAAUUACUGGGCGUAAAGUGUGCGCAGGCGGCCGAGCAAGUCGAGUGUGAAAGCCCCGGGCUUAACUUGGGAAUUGCGCUCGAAACUACUUGGCUGGAGUGUGGCAGAGGAAGGUGGAAUUCCAGGUGUAGCGGUGAAAUGCGUAGAGAUCUGGAGGAACACCGAUGGCGAGGGCAGCCUUCUGGGCCAACACUGACGCUCAUGCACGAAAGCGUGGGGAGCAAACAGG